AUUGAACGCUGGCGGCAGGCCUAACACAUGCAAGUCGAACGGUAACAGGAAGAAGCUUGCUUCUUUGCUGACGAGUGGCGGACGGGUGAGUAAUGUCUGGGAAACUGCCUGAUGGAGGGGGAUAACUACUGGAAACGGUAGCUAAUACCGCAUAACGUCGCAAGCCCAAAGAGGGGGACCUUCGGGCCUCUUGCCAUCGGAUGUGCCCAGAUGGGAUUAGCUAGUAGGUGGGGUAACGGCUCACCUAGUCGACGAUCCCUAGCUGGUCUGAGAGGAUGACCAGCCACACUGGAACUGAGACACGGUCCAGACUCCUACGGGAGGCAGCAGUGGGGAAUAUUGCACAAUGGGCGCAAGCCUGAUGCAGCCAUGCCGCGUGUAUGAAGAAGGCCUUCGGGUUGUAAAGUACUUUCAGCGGGGAGGAAGGGAGUAAAGUUAAUACCUUUGCUCAUUGACGUUACCCGCAGAAGAAGCACCGGCUAACUCCGUG
This 490-nucleotide ribosomal RNA is filed under the name uncultured bacterium. RNAcentral describes it as "partial 16S ribosomal RNA". It matches the Rfam family "Bacterial small subunit ribosomal RNA", at positions 30 to 507 of the family's 1533-position model. The record is from RNAcentral.